GGGUUUGAUUAUGGCUCAGGAUGAACGCUGGCGGCGUGGAUAAGGCAUGCAAGUCAAACGGCUCUUCGGAGCAGUGGCAGACGAGGUAGUAACACGUAGGAACCAACCCAGAAGUCAGGAAUAACUCAUCGAAAGAUGAGCUAAUACUUGAUAGUCCCUAAGGGGUAAAGAUUUAUCGCUUUUGGAUGGGCCUGCGUAAUAUCAGCUUGUUGGUAGUGUAAUGGACUACCAAGGCUAUGACGUUUAGGGGGGCUGAGAGGCUGAUCCCCACCGAUGGUACUGAGAUACGGACCAUACACCUACGGGUGGCCGCAGUCGAGAAUCUUCCGCAAUGGGCGAAAGCCUGACGGAGCGACGCCGCGUGAUUGAUGAAGUCUUUCGGGAUGUAAAAAUCUUUUCGGAAGGAGGAAGUAAUUGACGUU
RNAcentral lists this ribosomal RNA (422 nucleotides) under uncultured bacterium. Its description in RNAcentral is "bacterial SSU rRNA". It matches the Rfam family "Bacterial small subunit ribosomal RNA", at positions 9 to 476 of the family's 1533-position model. The record is from RNAcentral.